Molecule: ribosomal RNA, 660 nt
Filed under: uncultured bacterium
Lineage: Bacteria
Description: bacterial SSU rRNA
Rfam family: Bacterial small subunit ribosomal RNA
Source: RNAcentral
AGCGAACGCUGGCGGCGUGCUUAACACAUGCAAGUCGAGCGAGAAAGAGGACUUCGGUCCUUGAGUAAAGCGGCGAACGGGUGAGUAACACGUGGAUAAUCUGUCCUUGAAGCGGGGAUAACUCAGCGAAAGCUGGGCUAAUACCGGAUAAGACCACGGAAGGCGACUUCUGAGGUUAAAGGGAGCUCUCUCCGGAGAGCGCUCGUUUGAGGAGGAGUCCGCGUCCUAUCAGCUUGUUGGUGGGGUAAAAGCCUACCAAGGCGAAGACGGGUAGCUGGUCUGAGAGGAUGAUCAGCCACACAGGGACUGAGACACGGCCCUGACUCCUACGGGAGGCAGCAGUGGGGAAUAUUGGACAAUGGGGGAAACCCUGAUCCAGCGACGCCGCGUGGGUGAUGAAGGCUUUCGGGUCGUAAAGCCCUGUCAGGAGGAAAGAAUGCUCCUAUGACGAAUACUCAUAGGAAGUGACGGUACCUCCAAAGGAAGCACCGGCCAACUCCGUGCCAGCAGCCGCGGUAAGACGGAGGGUGCAAGCGUUGCUCGGAAUUACUGGGCGUAAAGGGUGCGUAGGCGGCCUUUUAAGUCUGGCGUGAAAGCCCAGGGCUCAGCCCUGGAAGUGCGCUAGAAACUGGAGGGCUAGAGUAUCGGAUGAGAGUUCCC